AUACGUAGGGAGCAAGCGUUGUCCGGAAUUACUGGGCGUAAAGGGCGCGUAGGCGGGUAUUUAAGUCAGGAGUGAAAACUCCGAGCUCAACUUGGAGAUUGCACUUGAAACUGGGUAUCUUGAGGGCAGGAGAGGAAAGUGGAAUUCCUAGUGUAGCGGUGAAAUGCGUAGAUAUUAGGAGGAACACCAGUGGCGAAGGCGACUUUCUGGACUGUACCUGACGCUGAGGCGCGAAAGCGCGGGUAGCGAACGGGAUUAGAUACCCCGGUAGUCCACGCUGUAAACGAUGAAUACUAGGUGUAGGAGGUAUCGACCCCUUCUGUGCCGCAGUUAACACAAUAAGUAUUCCGCCUGGGGAGUACGAUCGCAAGAUUGAAACUCAAAUGAAUUGGCGGGG
Molecule: ribosomal RNA, 397 nt
Filed under: uncultured bacterium
Lineage: Bacteria
Description: partial 16S ribosomal RNA
Rfam family: Bacterial small subunit ribosomal RNA
Source: RNAcentral